Molecule: small nucleolar RNA, 80 nt
Filed under: Drosophila ananassae
Lineage: Eukaryota; Metazoa; Arthropoda; Insecta; Diptera; Drosophilidae
Description: snoRNA:GF26020
Source: RNAcentral
UGCACAUGAUGAUAAUUUGUCUUCUUGAUAGGAAGUGCCAACUGACACAUAAAUGAAGCUAAUUUAACCCACUGAAGUCA